UUAGUUGCCAGCAUUCAGUUGGGCACUCUAAGGUGACUGCCGGCUAAAAGUCGGAGGAAGGUGGGGGAUGACGUCAAAUCAUCAUGCCCCUUAUGACCUGGGCUACACACGUGCUACAAUGGGCGGUACAAAGGGUCGCGAACCCGCGAGGGGGAGCCAAUCCCAAAAAGCCGCUCUCAGUUCGGAUUGCAGGCUGCAACUCGCCUGCAUGAAGCCGGAAUCGCUAGUAAUCGCGGAUCAGCAUGCCGCGGUGAAUACGUUCCCGGGCCUU
RNAcentral lists this ribosomal RNA (271 nucleotides) under uncultured Anoxybacillus sp. RNAcentral's name for it is "partial 16S ribosomal RNA". It matches the Rfam family "Bacterial small subunit ribosomal RNA", at positions 1111 to 1382 of the family's 1533-position model. Lineage: Bacteria; Bacillati; Bacillota; Bacilli; Caryophanales; Anoxybacillaceae. The record is from RNAcentral.